GGACAGUUGGGUGAGUCGGCUGAAACCACCUCCCUGCUAAGGAGGCAUACCCUUUAUCGGGUAUCGAGGGUUCGAAUCCCUCACUGUCCGCCA
RNAcentral lists this transfer RNA (93 nucleotides) under Terasakiella brassicae. Its description in RNAcentral is "tRNA-Ser". It matches the Rfam family "tRNA". From Rfam's summary of the family: Transfer RNA (tRNA) molecules are approximately 80 nucleotides in length. Their secondary structure includes four short double-helical elements and three loops (D, anti-codon, and T loops). The record is from RNAcentral. RNAcentral also lists the same sequence under 2 other names. Lineage: Bacteria; Pseudomonadati; Pseudomonadota; Alphaproteobacteria; Rhodospirillales; Terasakiellaceae.